UUGACCUAUGUCCCAUAUGUCAUUGUCAUUCUUCGAAAUAAAAUAAUUUCUUGAAUAUUAUUUGAAUAAUUGUAAUUAAUAUGUGGUACGAAAUUAUACCUAGUUUCUUAAUCAUUACAGCCGGCCUGGGGCUACCCGGUUGGGGUCUUUACCACAUACAUAAUUUAACUUUAGGCAACCAUUAUAGGCGCACUAUGAUCAGUCGAUGGGACCGUAUGCACUACCAGCGGGACCGGAGGAUCACAGGAAAUCCUUACCAAGUCAAUGGAUUAGAUGCUCUACCUGAUAAAUAAAAGGUUGUUACAAUAUGAAAUAUAUAGUGUAUUACAAAAUAUAGAUUAUUUAAUUCAAACAACAA
Long non-coding RNA from Vanessa tameamea, 358 nucleotides. RefSeq lists it as uncharacterized. The record is from RefSeq and is a predicted model, not a curated record. The transcript is spliced from 3 exons. NCBI's taxonomy places the organism in Eukaryota, Metazoa, Arthropoda, Insecta, Lepidoptera, Nymphalidae.